RNAcentral lists this long non-coding RNA (7014 nucleotides) under Triticum aestivum (bread wheat). Its description in RNAcentral is "long non-coding RNA (TAES_LNC001532)". The record is from RNAcentral. Lineage: Eukaryota; Viridiplantae; Streptophyta; Magnoliopsida; Poales; Poaceae.
CCAUUUCUUGGUUCAGUGAAGUGAUUAUGUGGAUCUUGUGAGGAAAACAGAUAGGCCAAGAAGCCUGGGAGGUUGUCUACAGUCACUGGCCUGGUAUGUGACCUGCUUGCAUCUUCUAAAUUAUAUUCUAAAUUAGUAUGAAUUUUUUCUGCUCAAAAACAGUUUUCUAUGAUAUUUGUAAUUUCCACGUUUCGAUUGAGCUUCUUACGAUCUAUCAGUAAGGCCUCUCAGGUUUUAGAUUUGUGAUUAGAUCGUUGCAUAUAAGCCAAAAUGAGUCUAUGAUAAGGGAAAUAAACUAGCUACGCUUACCGUAUGGAUGAAACUGAAGAGUGAAGUGAUAUUUCUUUCUACCAUUGCAUAGCUUUACCAUCACCGAUCCAUGUUAAGUGUGAUUUGUUUCUCUGUACAUUAUUCGGAUACAAAGGAUUCGAGCUGAAAAGAAGAUGCAGUGGAGAACAUUAUCACAAGUUAGCAUUUCCUGUGAAACGAAGACCAUUAUAUAGAACAUUGAUUAAUUUGUAAAAAAAUGCUGAUAGCCAAAGGUUAAUGCUGAUAGACCAUUAUAUAUAAACACUUGAAAUAAUUCAGUUAUGGUUUCUAUCAAUAUAUUGUUUCUACUACAUAUAUAUAUUACUUUUAGCUGCGCAAUUUCGUCCGACAGCCAAAGGCUAGUCUAUUAGUAUCUUUUGUAUUUGAUGGGAUCUUGUAACGAGAAAAAACCUUCGGAGCAAGAAACAGGAAACUAAAGGCUUGAUAGUAUUGUACUAUUUUAUCUCACUGGAAAAUUAUGUGUACUCAUUAAUACGUGCAUUUGCACGUACACGAUUACUAGUUCCACAGUAAUUAGUACAACUCUGAACAUCCCCCUUGUUCUUGAAGAUUGGUACUAAUAUACUCCGUCUCCAUUCUCCUGGCAUCUUGUUUGCCCGAAAAAUGAGGUUGAAAAGCUUGGUUAGCCAUACCAUCGCUAUGUCCCCGAGACCUUUCCACACCUCAAUGGGGAUACAAUCAGGGCCCAUCGCCUUGCCUCUUUUCAUCCUUUUAAAAGCCUCCUUCACCUCAGACUCCUGGAUGCGCCGCACAAAACGCAUGCUGGUCUCAUCAAAGGAGUCAUUCAGUUCAAUGGUAGAACUCUCAUUCUCCCCAUUGAACAGCUUGUCGAAGUACUCCCGCCAUCUAUGCUUAAUCUCUUCGUCCUUCACCAAGAGUUGGCCUGCUCCGUCCUUGAUGCAUUUGACUUGGCCAAUAUCCCUCGUCUUCCUCUCCCGGAUCUUAGCCAUCUUAUAGAUGUCCCUUUCACCUUCCUUCGUGCCUAACCGUUGGUAGAGGUCCUCAUAUGCCCGACCCCUUGCUUCACCAACAGCUCGCUUUGCGGCCUUCUUCGCCAUCUUGUACUUCUCUAUGUUGUCUGCACUCCUAUCCAGGUAUAGGCGUCUGAAGCAAUCUUUCUUCUCUUUAAGCGCCUUCUGGACAUCAUCAUUCCACCACCAGGUAUCCUUAUCUUCGCUUCUCCUUCCCCUGGACACUUCAAACUCCUCCGAGGCCACCUUACGGAUGCAAGUCGCCAUCUUCAUCCACACAUUGUCCGCAUCCCCUCCUUCCUCCCAAGGGCCCUCCUUAAAUACCCUCUCCUUGAACACCUGAGCUACCUCCCCCUUGAGCUUCCACCACUUCGUUCUAGCGACCUUGGCACGCUUAUCCCGCUGGACACGAAUCCGAAAGCGGAAGUCAGCAACCACCAGCUUAUGCUGGGGUACAACACUCUCCCCAGGUAUCACCUUACAGUCUAGGCACACACGCCUAUCUUCUCUUCUCGAGAGGAUGAAAUCAAUCUUGCUAGAGUGUUGGCCACUACUAAAAGUCACCAGAUGUGAUUCUCUCUUUCUAAAGAGGGUGUUAGCUACAAUCAUGUUGUAGGCUAGAGCAAAGCUUAAGACAUCUUCUCCUUCUUGAUUCCUAAUGCCAUAGCCAAAGCCCCCAUGCGCCCCUUCAAAACCUGUGUUAGAUGUACCCACGUGGCCAUUGAGGUCUCCUCCUAUGAAGAGCUUCUCACCAAUCGGUACACUCCUAACCAUGUCUUCCAAGCCUUCCCAGAACUCCCUCUUGGUGUUCUCAUUGUGGCCUACUUGCGGGGCAUAUGCGCUGAUAACAUUGAGAACCAAGUCCUCAGCUACCAGUUUGACCAGGAUAAUCCGGUCCCCACGUCUCCUGACGUCUACCACUUCAUACUUGAGGCUCUUGUUGAUCAAGAUGCCUACGCCAUUUCUGUUUGCAGCCGUCCCCGUGUACCACAGCUUGAAGCCGAUAUCCUCCACCUCCUUCGCCUUCUAUCCUCUUCAUUUGGUUUCUUGGACGCAAAGGAUAUCAACACCUCUCCUCACUGCUGCAUCAACUAGCUCCCGAAGCUUCCCUGUCAGAGACCCUACGUUCCAGCUACCUAAGCGAAUCCUCCUAGGCUCGGCUAGCUUCCUUACCCUUCGCACUCGUCGAGUCAAAUGCGAAGACCCUUGCUCAUUUUCCACUACAUCCGGGCGCCGAUGUAGCGCGCCACUAAGGAUGCGACGACCCGAUCCUCGCUCACUUGCCACCGUAUCCGGAUCAAGAUACGGCGCGCCACUUGGGGGGUGACGGCCCGGCCCUUGCCCAUUUUCCACCACACCCGGGUUCCGAUGUGGCGCGUCGCUGAGAGGGUUAAGCCCCAACGAAAAUCUUUUGGGUUUCAUCUCCAUAAGAGUGGCUGAGUUUUUAUGUUGGCUCGCCAAGCCUAUCACAACCCUCCUCCUUUACCCGGGCUUAGGACCGGCUAUGUUGAGACAACAUAGGCAGAGUUAAAAGGGCAACCUGGUGCAUGUAGCUCCCGCUUGCGCAGGGUCCAGGGAAGGGUCCGACCACUUUGGGUCUAUAGUACGUAGCCUUUCCCUACAUUUUUGUAAGAGGCUGUUUCCAGGACUUGAACCCAUGACCUCAUGGUCACAAGGCAGCAGCUUUACCACUGCGCCAAGGCUCCCCUUCUGGUCAGGAUCACACCGCUAACAGAAAAAUGUUGCCUUAUACAUUAUAAGGCAUUAGAUUCAGAUCUCAGCAUCUAGUUAUUCUGUAUCAACAAUUCUUGGGAUACAAUGAACCUCAAGGGCAAAGGUUUGAAUCUUACUUCAACCUUCAAUCCGACAACACCAGCUGUGACGGGACACUAUGAGCACGGAGAACGUGAUGGUUGAAUAUGCCUCAACCGACAUGUGUGGAGACUUCUUCUAGUCUCUCAAUCUCCUGAGUGGUCAACAUAAUUUAUGUCAAUUUACGAUGUUCUAAUAAGAACAUAAGUAUUGUUGUCAUCAUAUAUUGUAUAUCACAAUAUAUUGUAUCAGCACUUUGAUACACAUACAUUUGUAUGCAUUCUAUAUAUCUGACAGUGAUUUUCAUAUUGAGAAUCUUCAUGUCUAUAUAUAGAUUUCUACGCGAGUCAAUCCGAUGAAAAAUGAUAUGUGCCUUGUGGACAUAUGCACCACACACACUCUAUACUCAGGGAAGUCCAAUGUUUCCACUCUCAUUGAGAGAAAGGAGAUAUUUUAAAAUCGCUAGACGCGAUGAGGUAUUUGUUGGCUCAACUCGAGUCAUAUUUACUAUCCCUGUGGGUACUCGAGUAUCGUCAGGAUGCUUUAUUGCUUCCGGGUUUAGCUCAUACCCUACUAAACUAUAAAGGUAUCCGUCAAAAUAGUUUCCAUAGCGAAACUUAUGAUGACAACAAAGAGGAAUAUCUUCUCUUUACCAUAUGCAAUGGAUAUGGCAAGCAUAUUCUCUAUGUAUCAUUGGCAUUGCACUACACAUACUACAAAACCCGUAGCACAUGUUACGUACGAGAUAUUUUUCCAGAGUGUCUUUGGCAUGACAAACUUGGCAUUCCUGCUUUGGUCAUCAUUGGCAUUGGGUUGAAACCGAAACUAUCAGCAAUUCCAGUGGUUUAUGAUUAUUAUGAUGCUACAUUCUAACAAUAUUUGGAUUUUAUGUGCACUACAUGUGACACAAGGAGGCAAAUUUUAAGGCUUGUACACCUUAAAGUGUAUGUUGAACCACUCAGACUCCUUGAAUGCAUCAAGUCGAGAUAAGUGGCUCUUCCCAACCACUGAGUAGACUAUUCAGGUAUUCCAUGGUUCUAAAGGACAUAUCUACAUGAUGGUCUUAAGUGUGCUUUAUUCACACAAAACCAUUGGCUCAUUAUCCUGACAUCGAUUUCAAGCAAAUCGAAUGGAUAACCUUGUAGAAUUCUCCUUGAGUGCCUUCUUUAUGGCCCUUGGAUUGAAGUUUAGCAAUUUGUCCUAAUGUCUAGACUCAAAAUGGUUUGGUAGAAUCCUAUCCAAAGAGUUAAGCUCAUUGCAUAAUCUUUACUUUGGAAUUGCAACUUACCAACUUUACGUUGGAGUCAUGCAGUCUUACACUCUCAUGACCAAACUACAUUAUAUUAUUCCCUCUAUCUUUGAUACAUGGAAAUCUACCAAGUAUUUCCUAUCUGCGGUAAUUCGGUUACACACCGAUAUCACCACCCGGCUACAUCAUUGGCCCCUCAACAUAUAGUUGGGAUCUAUGUGAGGAAUAAUUGUAUUUCCAUCAAUACCUCAAGCCCCUCGAAUAGGGAGUUAUUCAAGGCCAGUAUGUUGAUUCAAUGAGGAAUAUUUCCAGGCAUUAGGGGGAGAAUUCAAGUACCAUAAAGAAUGCCAGGAAAUUAGUGGAAUGUUGAACACAUUUCUGCCUUAAAUCCACGUACUCAAAGAUCUGAACCAUGCGUUCAGAAGAUUUGCAACACAUUGCAAAUAACCUGCCAGAUUCAUUUACUGACUAUAAAGGUGUCACACAAUCCUACAAUCCCGCAAAAGUAUGCCUGAAAGAGUGGAGGUAGCAACAAAAUUCACUCCACUCCCCGUUCAAAGCAACAGGGGGAGAUGUAUGGCAGAAGUACAUCAGGAUUCAGCUUCUUGCAAACAAGGAUAUCAAGGCCUGUGAAUCAGUAAAUGUAAGUCAACUUCACGUUGAUAGACACCUAAUGGGUAGUAUACACCCAAUGGAUGGGAAACCUCCACCAACCCAGGUCAUAGUGCACAUAAUGACCGGGACAUCGGAAUACCCGACUCAAUCGCAUUGGGAAAUCGCGAGCAGUCACCAUGGGUAACGAUAUUUCCAUCAACAAUAUAUUGAUAUAUAGAUUCUGGAGAAUCAUAUAACCAAAAGUAUACAAUUGUCGACAACAUUUCUCAACUAGAUUGCAAAAACCUUUCAAAUGAUUCAGAUCCAAAGACCAUGGCCAUGGCAAAGUGUGAACAACACUCGGACUGAACUCAAGCAAAGGGUAUAAUCUAGGUAGAAAUGAUCUUGCUCAAUAAUAGGAAGGUAUUCAUAAGCAAUACCUACACCAGUUUUUUUUCUGGAAACGGAAUUGAGAACAAUAAGGUGGUGAAACAAAGAGCAAGUAUUGUAGCACAAGGGUUCACGCAGAUACCCAACUAUUCUCCAGAGGUGGAAUCUCUUUUCGAUAACUUAUAUCAUUGGCAGUACAAAAUCAUCUAUCUCUGCAGUUGAUAGAUGUAGUGAUUACAUAUCCAUGUGGAUCACUAGAUUCAGACAUAUAUGAUUGAUUUCCGAUGAAAUCUCAAUUCUGAAUCGAAAUACAAAAUGCAACAUACAUUGUGUAAAACUGGUAAGUCACCAUACGACUUAUUGUGGUCGGUACAUAUGGUACAACCGACGUAGUGAGUUCCUUAUACAAAAGGAUUACUCCUACAAAGAUGAUUAUGCAUGUUUGUAUGUCUGCAAUGACGACACAUGUAAUCAUUUAAUGAUGGAGUUUAAAUGAAGGAUUUGGGUAAACCAAAACACCGCUCGUUUCUACAACUUGAGCACCUUCAUUCAUACAUUAUGGUAUACUAUGUUGUCUAUAUCCAAGAUAUAUUGGAGAAAUUCAUUGUGGACAAAUAUUAUCAAUCCAUAACUCUCAUGGUAGUUCAUUCUCUAGACGUAGAGAAAGAUCUAUUUAGACCAAGAGAUGAUGGAAAUGAGAUAUUGGGACUCAACGUUCCAUAUGCCAUUGGACCGACCAAACAUAAUUGGUUGGUACUCAAGAAUAUCUUUCGAUAUCUCCAAGGCAUGAAACAUCUUGUCCUGUUUUUCAGUUUUGAAGAAAUCUGAACACCGAUAUCAUUGGAUACAUCGAUCAGAUCCCCACUAUGUCAGAUCGUAGACAAGUUUAGUGUUCCUACUAGGUGUGGUAGCCCUCUCAUGAAGAGUCUUCGAAACAGACCUCGUGGCUACAUCCAUCAACCAUUAUCUCAACGAUAAUGUUUCUUGUGUUGCUCGGAUGCAAACAGGUUACAUAAUAAGCAAUAUCACUAUAUUGCAUAUCUUGCAAGUUAAAUCAAUGUGACUGAUUUGUUCAGCGGGUCUCUACUAACUUCUAUGUUUUGGUAUGUGACGGCUUCGAAUUUUGCAAGAAUCAGGGGAAGUACCUUCCUGAAUUGUUCAUGUUCAAUGCAUCAUAUUAUACUCUUUUUCCUUUCAUGAGUUUACUUUACAGAUUCUCAUAAAGGUUUUUAAUGAGGUAAUAUCAACACAAGACCAUAUGUCAUAUUUUCUGUUUUCCCUACCGGGGUUUUUAAGAAAGUAUAGACGACAUAUUUAUUGUCCUGUAAACUCUAUGAGUUUUCUCGUAUCGAGUUAAAAAAGACAAUAACCAUUAUAUGUUGCAUUAUUUUUUCUUUUUUUUCCACUGGGUUUGAAGGAGUUUUAGCAACAUAUCAAACACCUAUCUCCUUGUAUUUUUCCCACAGGGUUUUUGGAGGAGCUUCUCAAGAUGAUGAUACUUACACUAACAAGCAUGGAUUAGGGGGAGUGUUAGGAUUUAAUUAAUCCUAUUAAUCCCUGUUUUUCCUAAUUGAGGCGGUUGUCUCGUGUCCCUUCACCCCUUCAGGGGCUAUAUAUAUGUGUAAUUCCAUCAUCAAUGAAAACAACUAUUCUACUAUUUGUCAUUUG